RNAcentral lists this ribosomal RNA (565 nucleotides) under uncultured Glomeromycotina. RNAcentral describes it as "SSU rRNA". It matches the Rfam family "Eukaryotic small subunit ribosomal RNA", at positions 548 to 1114 of the family's 1831-position model. Lineage: Eukaryota; Fungi; Glomeromycota. The record is from RNAcentral.
UUGGAGGGCAAGUCUGGUGCCAGCAGCCGCGGUAAUUCCAGCUCCAAUAGCGUAUAUUAAAGUUGUUGCAGUUAAAAAGCUCGUAGUUGAAUUUCGGGGUUAGUAGGUUGGUCAUGCCUCUGGUAUGUACUGGUCUCACUGAUUCCUCCUUCCUGAUGAGCCGUAAUGCCAUUAAUUUGGUGUUGCGGGGAAUUUGGACUGUUACUUUGAAAAAAUUAGAGUGUUUAAAGCAAGCUAACGCUUGAAUACAUUAGCAUGGAAUAAUGAAAUAGGACGUUCGAUCCUAUUUUGUUGGUUUCUAGGAUUGACGUAAUGAUUAAUAGGGAUAGUUGGGGGCAUUAGUAUUCAAUUGUCAGAGGUGAAAUUCUUGGAUUUAUUGAAGACUAACUACUGCGAAAGCAUUUGCCAAGGAUGUUUUCAUUAAUCAAGAACGAAAGUUAGGGGAUCGAAGACGAUCAGAUACCGUCGUAGUCUUAACCAUAAACUAUGCCGACCAGGGAUCGGAUGAUGUUAAUUUUUUAAUGACUCAUUCGGCGCCUUACGGGAAACCAAAGUGUUUGGGUUC